AACAUGCAGUUCAUGUUUGUUCAUGUUGGUUUUGAUAGUAAAUAGUUUGCCUUCACAAAUUGUAAAUUUGCAGUCUUCAGUUAUGAUGGAACAAGUUCCGCAUCGAGGUGUUCGUCAUUUUGUUACACUGACUGACAAACUAUUUUU
Haliotis rubra (blacklip abalone) is the source of this 147-nucleotide long non-coding RNA. RefSeq lists it as uncharacterized. Lineage: Eukaryota; Metazoa; Mollusca; Gastropoda; Lepetellida; Haliotidae. The transcript is spliced from 3 exons. The record is from RefSeq and is a predicted model, not a curated record.